Molecule: unclassified non-coding RNA, 258 nt
Filed under: uncultured fungus
Lineage: Eukaryota; Fungi
Description: sequence contains ITS2
Source: RNAcentral
AACGCACAUUGCGCCCUUUGGUAUUCCUUAGGGCAUGCCUGUUCGAGCGUCAUUUCAACCCUCAAGCCUAGCUUGGUGUUGGGCGUUUGUCCCGCCUCCGCGCGCCUGGACUCGCCUCAAAAGCAUUGGCGGCCGGUUCCCAGCAGGCCACGAGCGCAGCAGAGCACGCGCUGAAGUGGCUGCGGGUCGGCGUACCAUAAAGCCCCCCCACAUCAGAAGUUUGACCUCGGAUCAGGUAGGGAUACCCGCUGAACUUAA